RNAcentral lists this ribosomal RNA (497 nucleotides) under uncultured bacterium. RNAcentral describes it as "partial 16S ribosomal RNA". It matches the Rfam family "Bacterial small subunit ribosomal RNA", at positions 28 to 507 of the family's 1533-position model. The record is from RNAcentral.
GAUGAACGCUGGCGGCGUGCCUAAUACAUGCAAGUCGAGCGAACAGACGAGGAGCUUGCUCCUCUGACGAUAGCGGCGGACGGGUGAGUAACAUGUGGAUAACCUACCUAUCAGACUGGGAUAACUUCGGGAAACCGGAGCUAAUACCGGAUAAUAUAUUGAAGCGCAUGGUUCAAUAGUGAAAGACGGUUUUGCUGUCACUUCUAGAUGGAUCCGCGCCGCAUUAGCUAGUUGGUACGGUAACGGCUUACCAAGGCAACGAUGCGUAGCCGACCUGAGAGAUUGAUCGGCCACACUGGAACUUCAACACGGUCCAGACUCCUACGGGACGCAGCAGUAGGGAAUCUUCCGCAAUGGUCGAAAACCUGGCGGAGCGACGCCACGUGUGUGAUGAAGGUCUUCGGAUCGUAAAACUCUGUUAUUAGUGGAGAACAGAUUUGUAAGUAACUAUACACGUCUUGACGGUACCUGGUCAGAAAGCCACGGCUAACUACGUG